Molecule: ribosomal RNA, 422 nt
Filed under: Capnocytophaga granulosa
Lineage: Bacteria; Pseudomonadati; Bacteroidota; Flavobacteriia; Flavobacteriales; Flavobacteriaceae
Description: bacterial SSU rRNA
Rfam family: Bacterial small subunit ribosomal RNA
Source: RNAcentral
GAUGAACGCUAGCGGCAGGCCUAACACAUGCAAGUCGAGGGAGAAGCCCUUCGGGGCAGAAACCGGCGCACGGGUGCGUAACGCGUAUGCAACCUACCUUUCACAGGGGGAUAGCCCGAAGAAAUUUGAUUAAUACCCCAUAAUAUUAUUGGAUGGCAUCAUUUGAUAAUUAAAAUUACGAUGGUGAAAGAUGGGCAUGCGUCCUAUUAGCUAGUUGGAGUGGUAACGGCACCCCAAGGCUACGAUAGGUAGGGGUCCUGAGAGGGAGAUCCCCCACACUGGUACUGAGACAGGGACCAGACUCCUACGGGAGGCAGCAGUGAGGAAUAUUGGUCAAUGGUCGGAAGACUGAACCAGCCAUGCCGCGUGCAGGAAGAAUGCCCUUAUGGGUUGUAAAACUGCUUUUAUAUGGGAAGAAUAAA